RNAcentral lists this ribosomal RNA (253 nucleotides) under uncultured bacterium. Its description in RNAcentral is "partial 16S ribosomal RNA". It matches the Rfam family "Bacterial small subunit ribosomal RNA", at positions 524 to 776 of the family's 1533-position model. The record is from RNAcentral.
UACGGGGGGAGCAAGCGUUGUUCGGAUUUACUGGGCGUAAAGGGCGCGUAGGCGGCGACUCAAGUUAGAUGUGAAAGUCCUGGGCUUAACCUGGGGACUGCAUUUGAUACUGGGUUGCUUGAAUUCGGGAGAGGAUAGCGGAAUUCCCAGUGUAGAGGUGAAAUUCGUAGAUAUUGGGAAGAACACCGGUGGCGAAGGCGGCUAUCUGGACCGACAUUGACGCUGAGGCGCGAAAGCGUGGGGAGCAAACAGG